AUAAAAAUUAGAUGAAUUUUAAUUUAAUUAAAAAUAAAUUAUGAAAAAUAUAUAUACCUUUAAAAAAAGGGAUAAGAAAAUUAGGCGAGUAUGCGGGUGGGGUCUGCAUAGAAAAAGAGGGAGGAAGAUAGGGGAGAGGAUUAUAAGGGGAUAAUAAUAAAUAAAAGCCCUAAAUUUUUUUUCUUCGUCGCGUAGAAUAACAUUCUAUCUUUGUCAAUUUGAUUUCUUUUCUUUUUCUUUUUCGAGCUUGUGCCUUUAACCUGUUAACCGACGACGAAGACGAUCAUACUCGUCAGAAAUUUUUAACGAUAGAAGACGUAUUAAUAAUAAUAAUAAUAUUAAUAAUAAUAAUGAAUAAAUAAAUAAAAUAAAAUAAUGUAAGUCGAUGUAUAAUCAAUGGUUUUUUUCAUUUCCAUUAAAAAUAUCUUUUAUGAAUGUAUCUUUUACAUUAUGUUUAUGUUUUAUUACAUUUAGAUAAUUCUAUUUAACAAUAAGCGCUAAAUUUAAGCCUUAUAAUCGUGUCGUAUGUAAAUUUGAACUGAAUACAAAUUAGAUAAUAGCAUAUUCACAUUCUCACUGACCGAAAAGGAAUUUUUCCCCGAUUAACAGGUUAAAGGAGUCGUGUCAUCGUCAUAUAUAAUUGUUGCAAUCAUAUAAGGCACAUUUCGUCAAUGGCGCGAGGGAAGUGUUUUUCUUUUUUUCUCAUAUAUACAGGGUGAAUAGCAUAGUAAUCUCUACUGAUAGUGAUUCGUGAAUCACCCUGUAUGUAUAAAUAUAUAUAUAUAUAUAUUAUAUUUUUUUUUUUUUUUUUUUUUUUUGAAUCUUCUUAUCUUCUUUUCUUCUCUUAUUAUACGCCACAAUACAUUUCGCCAAAGACGGCCCUAGUCAUAUUCUUUACUCGUCUUUGUCGAAGACAUCAAGGACAGCUUGAGCCGAUCUUAGCGUUUUUUAAUUCUCGGCCGAGCAUCUCUUUUACAUGCAUACAUGCAUACAUAGAGUGAGUCACAGUAGUAUUCGUAUACUACUACUGUAACUUUAAAAUAAUUAAUAUUUGCUUUCUUUUUUUUUUCUUAUUAACAACCUCUUUACAAUUUAUCCGGUUGACUACCUAAAUGCAGCUGUAUUUAAGGUCUCGAUAUCAAUUUGAAAGUUUAAUUAUCUUAAAACAAAUUUCGAUGUAUAGGAAUUUUGAGAAAUUACAUUAUAAGUAAAUAUCAAUUAUUUAAAAUUGAGAGUGAGGGUGGUUAUGAAUACUACUGUGACUGACUGUACAUACAUACAUACAUACAAAUAUACGUAUAUAUAUAUAUAUACAUAUAUGAAACGACAAAGAGAGAAGUAAAAAUGUUGCUUGUUAGACAAAUCGAUGGUAUGCAAUUAAUCUCAAAUCGUCUUUGACAUCGAUCGAAAGGAAAGAUAACUAAUUCGCAAUGGCAAAUAAAUAUGAAUAAAUCUAUCAAUAAACCGGCCGCGGUUAUACCAACUAUACACACUUCCAAAUUAGGAUUGUUACGUUUGUUAUGAUAGUUUUUAUUUCCUUAAAAACAAACAAAAAUGAAGAAAAUCCAUGGUUUGUUUUGCUCUAAGCACGUUUGUUAGACCACCGACAUUUGUGCAAGUAGUUAUGACAGUGGACUUAAUUCAAAAAAUUGGAAAAAAAAUCUUUUGAUUUAUUUCAUAUUAAAAUUAUUUAUAUUACAAAAUAAAUCAUAACAUAAACAAAUAAACAUUUUUUGACUUAUUAGCCCACCGUUAAUUACCGGCACAUAUGUGAUAUAAAAUUGAUUUGUUUUCAUUGGUGCCUGUAUAAUACUAUUUGAAAGAUUUCAUUAUCUUUAUCUUUCUCUUUUCUUUCUUCCAUUUUCUUUCUGUCCCAUUUUAUACCGAAAACGUGUUACAUUUUUUGCAAUCUAAUAUUAUUGGACAUUGUUUACGCCUUCAUUCGUUUUUCUUGGGGUUUUUUAUUUUUUUUUUUUUUUUUUUUUUUUCUUUUUUUCUUUAUAAUUGUCACUCAAUAUGAUAACACAACGACAAUGUGGAGUUGCGUAAGCGUGAUUUUAAACAAUGAGACGAACAUGGAAAAAGUUAGGAAGAGAGAUGGUUUGUUCAGUGGCAGGGUCGCGUGUAUUAAUAAAAAGCAUGUGCAAAUAUAUAAAAUAGCGUUCGUCGUAUAAUAGUUCGGUAAAAAAUAAAACAAAAAUAAACGCGAAUACUUUAAAACGACGAAGCUAAGCUAUACAAGCUGUUAUUAAGUUAUUAUGAGCUAGAAUAAUGUAAUUUUAAUUAUUCGAUGAGAAUACGCAGUUAUAUUUAAGAGGUACCGUAAAUUAAUUCGAUUUUAUAAGACCAAAACUUCUGUAUGUAUUUUUACAAACUUAUUUGCAAGUUGAUUAUAUUAUAUGAAGAAAAUAGACGGAGUCACUUAGCAACGAGAAAAAAAAAGUCUUCUACUGCCAGACGUAGAUUACGUAUUUUUUCGGGCCAUGCGAUUCUGUUGUUCUUUAUUAUUACUACUAUUAUUAUAGCUUUAUUAAAAUAAAAAAGUCGAUAGUUCUAUAUUACCCGAUUUGUAACGAUCGGUCGUUGUUUCGCAGCGUUAUUCUUUAUUAUUAUUAUUUUUUAAAAAUAUUAUUAUCAUUAUGUUGAUUAUAUAUUAAAAAAAAAUAAUAAUAAUUUUCGCUUAAUUUCUAAACUUAUACAUUAUUUAUCGUGCGUUUUUUCUUCGCUCUUUUUAUAGGCUAUCCUAUCUUGUAUAAGUUUAUAAAUUUAUAAUCGAUAAGGCUUAUUAUACAUUAUGAACAUUGUGAAAGCUUAGUGCAGUAUUACGAUUAUUUCCGAAUUCUUUACACGAUAUAUACAUUUAUAUAUAUUGCUAUUUUGUAAAUCUGUAUUAGGACAUGAUUUCUCGAAAUAAAAGUUCGAAAAUAACGAGCUCGUCGAAUUCCUGUCCUAAUACGGAAUCAUUUUGAAGUAUCAUCACGACGACACAGAAUUCUUUGUAUAUGAUAUUUUAUCUCAAGCCGAUUAUUCAAAAUAAUGUAUAUUCAAUUUGAACGUAUGAAAAUUAAGCAAAGUUAUAUAUGAAGAUAUAUUUCGUUGAGAUAUAUUAAAGCGCGCAUCUAAAUAUUCUUCAUUAGGAGGGCAUUAAUGAAUAAAUUAUUUACAAUCAAGUAAGUUUAUUAGGCUUGUAUAAGAGUUAUCUGUAUUGUUGCGUAGAGAGGAAGGUGGGCUGCUUAUUGUUGGAGGUUUACGCAAUUUUUCCUUACCCUUGCUCCUCCUACCAACUCACAAGUUAAUAAUAUAAGUUUCCAGGGGUAUGCACUUAUGUUAAUAGAAAGAUACAAUUCCUAUAUUGUACAUAGGAAAAUCAUAAUAUGUCAAUUUUAGAUUUAAGGGUCAUUCUGGUCAAGCGCCGCAAAUAUCAAAGUAUUUCUUCAAAAUUUAUCUUUCUUUUCCAAUAAUAACAACGAGUUAUGCUUCCAAAAUUGUUAUUACAUAUAAAUCUAAUACAAAAUAAAUGGUUUUUUCUUUUUUUCAAGAAAAAUAGUUGCCUUCAAUAUGACAUAUCUGAAAAACUCUUAGAGACUCUUGUAAAAGAUUUGUUCACUUUUAUUGAUCCGAAAUUAGAAAAAUUCGAGUUAAUUUUUACUUUGUAUGAAAAUGAAACACUUCUACUUACUUUACUUUGUUAAAAAUGAACAAAAAUAACAAAUAACGAAUUUUAAUAAGUACACUUUGCGAUAUAGGCUACAAUUUUGUGCAAUGGUUAGAUAAAAAUAAAUGAAACACAUUUGAGUGUUCACAAAAAUAUUGAUUUCAACAAAUUCAACUAAUUAUAGUAAUUAGUAGGAUUGCCAAUAUUUUCUUAAAUCGUGAAAUUAAACUGAAUUCAUUUCCUUCUUCAUAUUUAUUUCUAUGCGAUACUUGGAUUUUUUCAUAGCAACUGUCGAACAUCUAACAUCGCACAAAUAAGAAGUCGCAAAUGGAAUUAAAAUGUUGAAAAUUGUGUAAUAUUUUGCGGCACACACUUUGAGAAUUACCGAUGUACAGGAUAACGUUUUAAAAAUUCACUCUAAUCGAUUAUGUAUUUCAAUUUACAACCUAUAUAAAAGUCGAAAUAAUGGAAACUGUCCGUCAACAAUUUUUGUAUUUCAUUUUUAGUAGCAUACUCAAUCGGUAUAUGUAAACAAAAAAUCCAUUUUUCCCAAAUUUUUGACCAGUAUGACCUUUUAAACAAAACAUUUAAAAACAAGAAUAAGCUCAAUUACGAUAUAAAUUAAUUUUCUAAGUAUUCUGUUGUCUUUGUACUGUAAGUAAGUAAUUUCAAAAAAAGAAAAAGGAAAAAAAAGAAGGUACUUAUUCAAACAAAAUUUCUUAACGAGAAAUUGUGAAGAGAAAAAAACAAACUUAGGUUGUACGUACUGUUAUUGUGUUCAAUAUAUAUAUAUAUAUAAAUAAAAGAAUAAGAGUCAAAAAGCAAAAAAGAACAUAAAAGAAAAGGGAGAAGAAGAAAUAACAAAAAAUAUCAAAAAUGAAAUUGUAAUAGGUAAUCGACUCUGGUAGUAGGGAUCCUCAAAGAUUGAUUAGAGACACCGUUAUUUAAAUAAAAAGCAAAGUUCUAAAGACUAUGUCAAAUAUGAACGCAAUUUAAUGAAUAAUUAUUUCUAUAGGGAUACCAAAAUGAAUUGAUGAGAGACCCUUUUGGGCUUCCAUUAAAUAAUUCAUUUCAGUCGGGCCACUUUUUGCCAUUAGAUGACGGAUAAUUUACAUGCGCACCCAAUAUGUCGACAAAAUUCAUACAUACCAAGUCCGAUAUAAGCGAUUAAGAAGAUGUAACUCCUAAUUAAAUUAAAGGAGUUCACUUAAAUAUAACAGUCGUUGUUAUAACUGCCUAAUGAUAAGUAAAAAAAAGAGGAAAAAAGAAAGAAAAAUAAAAAAGAAGCACUUAUACAAAUGAGGAGAGAAGGAAGAAAAAGAAGAAGAAGAAUAUCCGUUGUAUAUACUUGCUCGUAAUAUUCAAUAUUCGUUGUAUAUUCUAUGGAUAUUCUGCUAACACUUUGUGCUAUAUUCCAUACAUUGGUAAUAAACUAAAAAUAGCUUUAGGAUAUUCUUUUAUUCCAAUUCUAAAAGCAGAAUUAUAAAUCACAAUCUCUUCGCUGCUACUCUGGAAAUCCAAUGAAUAAAGAAAAAAAAAGAAAAAGGCAAAAAAAAGAAAUAAUCGAUGUGUGUAAAAUAAAAAGUAAUUAAUUAAAUUCAGCGUGUAUUAUUUACAAUUGUACGGCGGAGCACUUCUAAAAAGCUCGAAUAAACGAUAGAAUAUUAACAAAAAUAAUACAUAAUAUAAUACAAUAUUAUAUGGAUAAUAAUCUGUUCUUCGGCUUUUCCUUCUCUUGACUAUAAUAAUUCUAAAUAUACGCGAAUACGUAAUUACGAAAUAAAAGAAUAAGGAAGGAUUUUAUGGGGGGGGAAGGUGGAGUUUUGAGGAUAUAAAAAAAAAUAAACACGAAAAGUUUCAUAGGUAAAUAAAAUGGUAAAUAUAAUGACAAAUAAAAUGAUUUAUUCUAAGCUCUGUCGUAACAAUUUUCCUACGUUGUUAAAUUUGUAAACGCAAGAUAUAGGUAAUAUUGUAAUGUAGGAAAUACGCAAAUCAUUGUUUGUUGCUACUGCUUUAUCGUACUAUAAUUUUACUUUUAUUAUUAACAAAUAAAAAAAAAUAAAAAGUAUCGAGCCAGAUACUUUUCAAGAAAAUUCUGUCCGGCGGAGUACACAAUUUCGGAUAUAUAAAUUUGAUGCUUUGUGUAAUUUAAAAGAUUAGCGCGUAAGUGUAGUUCUUAUAUAAAAUGGCGACUACUAAGUUAUAUGCACAUCGAAUGGGGCCUUUCGGAUUAAUAUGUAUAAACAAUUUCCUAUUCGAUUAGUAAUUAUAAAGGAAUUACAUUGAAACUUUACAUUUUUCGUUGCCGAAUAAUGAAUUAUGCAAUAAGUAUGUUAUUAUUAACUAUUUUCAUCGUUAUGAUUAUGAUUAUGAUCAUCAUCAUCAUCAUCAUCAUCAUCAUCAUCAUCAUCAUUAUCAUCAUCAUCGGCGUCGUCGUCAUCAUUAUCACUAUUAUCAUUAUUACCAAUAAUGAUAGUCCUUAAUAUAUUUACUGCAUGCUUAUUAUAUAAUAUAAUCACGUUAUUAUUAGUUUUACGAAUAAGUUUCUUUUAAAACAAAAAAAAUAUGUUAGAAAGCAGUAAUGCAAAAUGCAUGAUUUCCAUGUGGAUCUGACAUUUUAUUAAAUGCUUAUUUUGAUCUUCCACCUUGUGAAAUCAUUCAUAUCUGUUUCUUUAUUACCCUUUUUAUUAUAGCGAAAACUAGCGGAAUGCCAAUGAUAUCUCAGUGAACGCAAUCGCUACGCUAUUGGAAAGAGAUAAGGAAAAACAGAAGACAAACAAAAGUACAGUGUCAGACCGAUAUUUCGUACAACCAUCACUUCUUAAUAAUCCGCCUACUAGUGCACUUGUAGGCGUGCAUACACAUAUUCUUUCUGUUUAAAGUAUUACUGCGAUUACGCACUGCUAUUUCCAACAAAACGUUCUAAUUUUAG
This 6587-nucleotide long non-coding RNA is filed under the name Polistes fuscatus (common paper wasp). RNAcentral describes it as "uncharacterized LOC122515273". The record is from RNAcentral. Lineage: Eukaryota; Metazoa; Arthropoda; Insecta; Hymenoptera; Vespidae.